GGCAGGGGCGUUUGGCCAUCAAGUGGCAAUGGGAGGUCAGAGGGAGGGAGGAGGGUGAGGCGGGCACGUUAUUUUCCAGCCCUACCCUGUCCAGUCAUCGUGGGCUGCCUGUGCCCCUCAAGUCAAGCACACAGGUCCUGCUGGGCAUCUCUCUGAGGUGACCUUUCUCUCCCUCGCCUCUCAGCCAUUUGGGUGGUUAACAGCUCCUGGCUGGUACCAGUCUGAUGCCACUGUACUCUCCUUUGUGGUUUCUUCAAACCCUGCACAGUCACUAACUAAACUGUCCUAAAAUUACUCGCUUUGAGUACGCCAUCUGAGUUGCACCAGGACCUGGACUUGAAUGAAAUUGUAUUGUUGAUUAAUCUAUUAUUUCCUGCACUUAUUAAGCCUGUAACCUUUUUCUUUUUAAUUGAGGAACACCCUACAAUGUCCUACAGACCAUAAGUUUUGACUACAUACUUUGGUGAAUGCCUUCCUAGGACAGCAGCUUAGGAAGAGGAUUCUGGAAAAAUGGAGGCAGCCAGGCAGCUUUUCCACUCUUAACCCUGGAGCAUUUCCCCACAAGGACCUGGUGCUUCCACCCGAUGACCACAUCCAGUGGCUUUCAGUUAAGCCUAGAGUUGUACCCCCUUUGUGUACAGCGUCUUCUUUACCUGGAAACCCCUCUCCCUGCUCUUCUCCUAUCGAAAGGCCACGCUUUGAAAACUCCAGGCCACAUCACCAUUCACCUUGAACAUCACAGAAAGCACUGGGGCUCACCUUGGCCUCUGUCACUCACGUGGCCACUGUGGUUCACCUUAAGAAGUCAAUCAUGA
Molecule: long non-coding RNA, 815 nt
Filed under: Macaca mulatta (Rhesus monkey)
Lineage: Eukaryota; Metazoa; Chordata; Mammalia; Primates; Cercopithecidae
Description: lncRNA (ENSMMUG00000050436.1)
Source: RNAcentral